CUCUACUAUUAUCUAGUAUUACUAUAUUUUUCCAUUAACAUAAAAAAGCAUAUUCUUUCUCAUUUUUAUUGAAUAAAUAAAAGUAAUAAAUAAGCAAAAUUUUCAUUUUUAUCUAGAAUUUAAAUUGUAAAAAAAAAAACUUCAUAAAAGAUUAGGAAAAGUAAAAGUAUAUGAUAUAGAAACCUAUAAUAUAAAUGAAUACAAAUAAAAACAAACAAAUCGAACCAAAUUAUAAAAAGUACUUGUUAUUUUUAAAGUUUAAAGAAACUAUGUAAGGCAAAUAGUACUAAAUAAAAAAAGGAGCAAUAACGCCCUCUUGUUUUAUCAAGAGGGAAGCUAUUGCUCCUUUUUUAGUUCAAAAACUCCUAUACAAUCAGACCAAAGUC
RNAcentral lists this unclassified non-coding RNA (386 nucleotides) under Helianthus annuus (common sunflower). RNAcentral describes it as "partial trnH-psbA intergenic spacer". The record is from RNAcentral. RNAcentral also lists the same sequence under 1 other name. Lineage: Eukaryota; Viridiplantae; Streptophyta; Magnoliopsida; Asterales; Asteraceae.